Eucalyptus grandis is the source of this 1999-nucleotide long non-coding RNA. RefSeq lists it as uncharacterized. NCBI's taxonomy places the organism in Eukaryota, Viridiplantae, Streptophyta, Magnoliopsida, Myrtales, Myrtaceae. The record is from RefSeq and is a predicted model, not a curated record. The transcript has 2 exons.
CGGAAUACUUUUAGGGACAACCUGGUAUGGCUCAGAUGAUCUCCAAGGACGGAAGGCGAUCUGACGAAGAAAAUUUUUGUACUUUUUAAUGGGAAGUGAGUACGCUAGGCUGGGACAUAUGCUCCUUUUUAACCUUUAGAUUCCUGCUCAUUCUUCUUCUUCUUCUUUAUCCUCUUGUCGUGUUCUCUCCCUGUACUCGCUCCAUCAUCCAAUUGUUCAAUAAUUCGGUCAUUCCGAUAUAUCUCUAUAUAAAUCAAGAAAUAUCAUUUCGCCGAAAUCGAUUUCUCUUCGAUACGUCAACAGUGAAUUCUUCACGAUUUUUCCAGGGCACUGUAUGAUUCUUACUUGUUAUAACCCGAGCUCUGUUUCUUGGUCAGCGUCGGUGCUAAUGCUCUGCUUAUUUCGUAUAAUUAUUGACUUAUCUUUUAUUUUUAUUCUUCUAAAAUGAUAUGGGUCGUCGAGAAGCUUGCACUUCCACUGACGUCUCGAUUUAAAUACGUUGUUUUCAGUGGAGUCCCACCGUUAGUUGGUUGAUGUGCUUUAAUGGAGCAAUUUCAUGUCUACUAGUGGCUGGCGCUAUCACCACUAUUGAUUAUAAUAAUUAAGGUGGGUGUUAUAUUAUUUUCGGAUGCAUGGGGAUGUUUAUUGAGGACGGCCGUCGUGAUAUUACCCACAAAAAAAAAAAAAAAAAAAAUAGCCUCGGUUUAUAGGAAUUUAUAAUUUGCAUGCGGAAGUUUCGCUGGAGCGAAUGAUUCUCAUUCAUUGUAUGGGUUGAGUGGUUGGCAGUUUUAGUUCGAAUCCCUCUUUUGAUCACCAAAAUCCUUGAAUAGGUUCGAGCUCAAUUUGAGUUUUCUCAGAGUUGACUACUUAAUUAUAGAAAAAUAGAGACUUGAAGAUGGUAUAUCGGAAGUCCAAAAUAAUAUUAAUCGUUGUACACAGAAUCUCGAAUUUCCCUUUUCAAAUUAAGUCGUUGAUGAAUUAUCGUCCCGUUGCAUCAUAACGGUUAUGUCAAAAGGCGACAAAUUGAUUCGAUUGACGUAUAAUCGUAUCACACGAAUAAAAUAAAUAAGUUAUGACAUUUUUGAAAAACGUCAUAAUUUCAGGAGUUUUGAAAAAUUUCGAUACGGAUUGAAAAUAUCUCAAAUCAAACAAAGUUGAAGCACUUUUUAUGCAAACUCCAGCAUUUUAAUCAAACCCAAAAUUGACAGGCCAACCACAGCAUCUGUUCCCUUCCAGCAUAUGCAUGACAUGUAUGUGCACCAAGGAAUGGAGCCAAAUUUCCAUAUUUCCCUUUUGUCCUUUUCCUCUUCUUCUUUUUUGAUCUCAUGGCAAAGAAUAUGAAAAGGAGAGAGAGAAAGUAGGCUUUAAGAAUCCCCAAAUGCGCACUGAAUGAAGAAAGCACAUGGGUAUGGCAUCCACGAAGCCAACCGAGCAGGUUCAGAUGUUCGUUCGUUCAGUACACGAGAUCAACCUUGGUUUCACCAAACCUUUAGCCGCCAGUGGGCCCCCCUCGCCACCUCGUGGGCGCUCGCCGUUGGAAUCGGCCACGCGCGGUGGGGCCAAUUUCUACCGACGACGGAGGGGAUAGGUCUUGGGUCGAUUUCGGUGGCUCUUUUGUCUUGGCUCUCUUCAUGCGAUGCGACGCCGUUUGUCGGUGGGUGAUCUUUGGGUACGCCUUUACUUUACAUGUGUUCUUCUACCUUUUCGUAUCUUGUACUUUUGGACGGAUACUUAAUAUAGAAGUGGGUCCCGCGGAGGAUGUUGAGAGGAAUUGAGGUUAGUGGUGAUGGUUAGGGCAUUGAUGAUGUUAGGUAGAUGUCUGUUUGUUGAGUUAUUCAUUUCAUUGUGAUGAUAUUAGGUAGACGUCUGUUUGUUGAGUUAUUUAUACAUCUUUUGUGUAUUUGCGUCUCUCUAGUGUUUUUUUUCUAAACGAUCUUUUCAUUUCCUUCUUGAGUGCUACACAACUAUGUUGGUACGAGAGCUACAAGCCUUUGCCGUC